Molecule: ribosomal RNA, 907 nt
Filed under: Rhodotorula mucilaginosa
Lineage: Eukaryota; Fungi; Basidiomycota; Microbotryomycetes; Sporidiobolales; Sporidiobolaceae
Description: LSU rRNA
Rfam family: Eukaryotic large subunit ribosomal RNA
Source: RNAcentral
UAGCAUAUCAAUAAGCGGAGGAAAAGAAACUAACAAGGAUUCCCCUAGUAGCGGCGAGCGAAGCGGGAAGAGCUCAAAUUUAUAAUCUGGCACCUUCGGUGUCCGAGUUGUAAUCUCUAGAAAUGUUUUCCGCGUUGGACCGCACACAAGUCUGUUGGAAUACAGCGGCAUAGUGGUGAGACCCCCGUAUAUGGUGCGGACGCCCAGCGCUUUGUGAUACAUUUUCGAAGAGUCGAGUUGUUUGGGAAUGCAGCUCAAAUUGGGUGGUAAAUUCCAUCUAAAGCUAAAUAUUGGCGAGAGACCGAUAGCGAACAAGUACCGUGAGGGAAAGAUGAAAAGCACUUUGGAAAGAGAGUUAACAGUACGUGAAAUUGUUGGAAGGGAAACGCUUGAAGUCAGACUUGCUUGCCGAGCAAUCGGUUUGCAGGCCAGCAUCAGUUUUCCGGGAUGGAUAAUGGUAGAGAGAAGGUAGCAGUUUCGGCUGUGUUAUAGCUCUCUGCUGGAUACAUCUUGGGGGACUGAGGAACGCAGUGUGCCUUUGGCGGGGGUUUCGACCUCUUCACACUUAGGAUGCUGGUGGAAUGGCUUUAAACGACCCGUCUUGAAACACGGACCAAGGAGUCUAACAUGCUUGCGAGUAUUUGGGUGUCAAACCCGGAUGCGUAAUGAAAGUGAAUGGAGGUGGGAACCGCAAGGUGCACCAUCGACCGAUCUGGAUUUUUAAUGAUGGAUUUGAGUAAGAGCACGUAUGUUGGGACCCGAAAGAUGGUGAACUAUGCCUGAAUAGGGCGAAGCCAGAGGAAACUCUGGUGGAGGCUCGUAGCGGUUCUGACGUGCAAAUCGAUCGUCAAAUUUGGGUAUAGGGGCGAAAGACUAAUCGAACCAUCUAGUAGCUGGUUCCUGCGAU